UGUGGUUUCUACAUGAUCAGCAAGUUCAUGGUUCGACGUCGUAGAUAGAACUCGAUGCUAUAUCGUUGCUAAUAGAGUAUCGGGUUGGGCUGGGGGAAAGUCCUGUUCAGUGCUACCAGGUUCGUAUAGAGAAAUAAAUGUUAACUAACUAGAGUGUAGCCGAGCAUAAAGCCUCAGAAAAAAUAUGAAGAACAACGACAACAACAACAACAACAACAACAACAACAACUUUAUGGGUUGGAUAUGGUACAUUUUUUUAUUAUUAUCGGCGUGGAUGGUAAGAAUUUGCUUGAAGACAAUCCCACC
Molecule: small RNA, 306 nt
Filed under: Histoplasma ohiense
Lineage: Eukaryota; Fungi; Ascomycota; Eurotiomycetes; Onygenales; Ajellomycetaceae
Description: hypothetical lncRNA
Source: RNAcentral